This 875-nucleotide unclassified non-coding RNA is filed under the name Camponotus floridanus (Florida carpenter ant). RNAcentral describes it as "glycogen-binding subunit 76A, transcript variant X1". The record is from RNAcentral. Lineage: Eukaryota; Metazoa; Arthropoda; Insecta; Hymenoptera; Formicidae.
UUUUAUACUGUAGAAUCUGAAAAAUAUCACAAGGUUGAUAAGAGGGCGAUAUCGAAUAGAAACAUUAUAGAACUCUACGCUUUCUUAGAAUUAUCUUAUUUCUUUCUUUCUUUUCCAAAGUUUGACAAUACAUUUCUUAGCCCAACUGAAAAAUAAAAGAAACGCAAUUAAUUAUGAGAAGGACUCAUUUAGAUUUCUCUCUCUCCUCAUCUUCUGACGUCGAAGUGAUACAUCGUCUUCGUAGCCAACGCACAUGCGUCGCGUCUCGUCACGUCACGCGUUCGCCAGUAGUUUCCGAAUCGCGCGCGCUACCGAGCGUGCGGUGCGAGCGAGUGAGCGAGUAGAGACAGAGACGCACCUGCGUGUCGCGACGCGCAGCUGCGACCUUCGUUGCCCUUGUACCGCCGACGGCCGUUCCGGCGGCUGAGACGUCGCCGUCAUUUUUACACGGGACGCACGUCCACAUAGAGGUCCACGUAGAGGUCCACGUAGAGGCUGCUCUAUCUCGUUCCGUCGACAAACGUCGCGGUCGCCUGUUGGUUUGUUUUAUUUCUCGUCGAUUUGUCUCUCGUCGCGGUUUCGAAUCGGUCUCGCGAUCGUAAAGAGGACCGGAAGUGUUCCGCCGAGCGGGAACAUUCGCGCGCGAAUGCCUUCCGCUUGCGGCUUUGCUUUUCCAAAAAGGGAUUAAAAGAGGGAGGACGCUUUCCGAGGAGUCGAACGACGGUUCGGACAGCGUGCCGGCAGGCCGAGGCAGCGACCCGACCUCGCCCUCGCCCUCCCCUUCGGAGGGCAGGCACGCGGAAGCCGAGGAAACAACAGCGGGCUCGAACGUCCUCAAGAUGGGCAGCACGGAUUCGGCAGGCAAUGCUCGCGGG